Long non-coding RNA from Cygnus olor (mute swan), 527 nucleotides. RefSeq lists it as uncharacterized. NCBI's taxonomy places the organism in Eukaryota, Metazoa, Chordata, Aves, Anseriformes, Anatidae. The transcript has 2 exons. The record is from RefSeq and is a predicted model, not a curated record.
CACCCUUCUGGGUAAAGCUGUGUCUACAGGGAGCCAGAGCACCAGCAGCGAGAGGAAUCCCUUGGAAAGGGGACAGGGCUGUCACACCUCUCAAAGGGGGACAAAGUAAACAAUCUCCAUGGCUUCCUGCCAGCCUUUUUUUUUUUUUUUUCCCCAGUGAUUUUUGGCUUUUCCAUCAGAACAACUUACCAGCUGAUUUUCCUAUCUAAAGGAUGUUGGCAGAGUGUGUCCCUGACUCAUCCUCCUGAGCUUCACCCCAGCAUGUUCACGUCCUUGCUCUUCAAGUAUCACACUGUGCAGGGUGAGAGGAUUUCUUCCACUUCAGUUUUCCUCUGGAUUGCCCAGUUUCUCCAUGUGGCUCUGAGAUUCUUUCCCAGUCUUCCAAAGGUCCCUACACAGGACAGUAAGACAGUACCUUAGAGCUGCCCUCUGUAUUUAAACAUUGCUGAUUGUGUGCCAAGGACCUUGGGCAAGAUGCUGUAAGCUGAAACAAGAAAGAGCUCAGUAAUAAAUACGUUUUAAAACCU